GAUGGGCCCGCGUCCUAUCAGCUUGUUGGUGGGGUGACGGCCUACCAAGGCGACGACGGGUAGCUGGUCUGAGAGGAUGGCCAGCCACAUUGGGACUGAGAGACGGCCCAGACUCCUACGGGAGGCAGCAGUGGGGAAUCUUGCGCAAUGGCCGAAAGGCUGACGCAGCGACGCCGCGUGUGGGAGGACGCCCUUCGGGGUGUAAACCACUGUUGCCCGGGACGAACAUGGGACUUGGGUCCCACUGACGGUACCGGGUGAGGAAGCACCGGCUAACUCUGUGCCAGCAGCCGCGGUAAUACAGAGGGUGCGAGCGUUGUCCGGAAUCACUGGGCGUAAAGAGCGCGUAGGUGGUGCGGUACGACCGGUGUGAAAGCCCCCGGCUCAACUGGGGAGAGUCACCGGUAACGGCCGGACUGUGAGUGCAGGAGAGGGAAGUGGAACUCCGGGAGUAGCGGUGAAAUGCGUAGAUACCCGGAGGAACACCAGUGGCGAAGGCGGCUUCCUGGCCUGCGACUGACGCUGAGGCGCGAAAGCGUGGGGAGCAAACAGGAUUAGAUACCCUGGUAGUCCACGCCCUAAACGAUGCGAACUGGACGU
This 600-nucleotide ribosomal RNA is filed under the name uncultured soil bacterium. RNAcentral describes it as "bacterial SSU rRNA". It matches the Rfam family "Bacterial small subunit ribosomal RNA", at positions 224 to 823 of the family's 1533-position model. The record is from RNAcentral.